This is a long non-coding RNA of Anneissia japonica, 1227 nucleotides long. RefSeq lists it as uncharacterized. Lineage: Eukaryota; Metazoa; Echinodermata; Crinoidea; Comatulida; Comatulidae. The transcript has 3 exons. The record is from RefSeq and is a predicted model, not a curated record.
AAACUCGAGCAAACAAAACGAAGAUCUUCUAGUCUGUAUGAAAAUGAAGAAAACAGUAAUCUAAACUCUACAUUGCGAUCUGUAUUUAAGCACACUUUGUUCAUCUGUGUAUAUAGAAACUAGGGAUUAAUCACUAGGGAUAGAAACUAUCGAAAAAAAACCCCAAAAAACAGGUACAUUCCCACAGAGUUCAAAAUAAUCUAAGUAUCUAAAAUACAGAAUUAAGAGCGUUCCCACAAAGUUUAAAAGACUAGAAACUAAGUAAGGAAAGUAACCUAUCGAUCUUUGGAUUUGAAGAUGUGCUGCUAGAUUUAAAUUAACUGUGACCAAAUAGACGAUAAGCCAUUAUGUUAAACAAAGGGUAGACGCAAACAAAGAAUUAAGAACGUUCCAACAAUAAAAAGAGCACCUAAUGAAGAUAAUUAAAUAUUGACCGAAGCCAGGACUCUUAUUGUUAGAUGGAUCUCAAGGCGAGAAGACAGUGCAUUAGUAAGUUGGUAGUAAGUUUAGUACUGAAAAUUCAGUUCUUUUCUAUUCCUAUGAAAGACAGUUGAAACAAUCCGGACAGCAAUGUCGGUAAAUGCAUUUGUCACACAUUCCGGUAGAGCAAAAACAAGAGUAAUCAUACUUUAUGAUUUCAGUAGUUGAUUCAUCUACAGGAAAAACAUCGACGUUAAAAAACACAAAACUUUCCCAGCCUCCGUUCUCAGAGAUCCAAUCACCAAACCUUUCAAUAACGAAUUCACCCGUAUAUUUCUUGAGUUAAAAAAUUUCGUUCUCGCUCUUUCCCUUCGCAAUUAAAGCGCAAAGAAGAUACAGAUCAUGAUGCGGCUCUAAUUAAUUUCUUCUCCGGCAAACUUUUCUUUCAAACGUGUGAUAAGCUGAUCGGGACAGAAACCGCUAAACGUUGACAAUUCAGGAAUAUAUUCUUUUUCGAUCUGCUCAGCAAUACGAAUAACAGCAAACAGUAACGGUAUAAAUGGUCAAACCAAACCUGGUGUCAUUGAGGAUGCUACCUGUAAUUUUACAUCAGACAGGGUACCUGAUAUUACAGCAUUUAGUGAUUCCUUCAUUGUGGACAGUAACACUAUAUUAACGAAGCUGGGCGCCUUCAUCGGCCGGGAGGAUGGCGACAACAAGAACGUCAUGUUUGGUAUCGGCUUAUGGGUGGACGACGAAGGGACGCAUUAUGGAGAAAAUGAGUUAAUAAAUCUAAAGAACAAUAUA